This 642-nucleotide transfer RNA is filed under the name Kluyveromyces marxianus. RNAcentral describes it as "tRNA-Gly". The record is from RNAcentral. Lineage: Eukaryota; Fungi; Ascomycota; Saccharomycetes; Saccharomycetales; Saccharomycetaceae.
AUGGAUGGACAUGACAAAAAGAAUCCCAUUCUCCUGCUUAAAGAAUUAUGCCAGGAAGCACAAGGUUUGGCAGGAGUACAGCUAAAAGAAGAUGGGUUUUCAUCUCCUUUUAAGACGUUUUCAAUACCAUUUCCUGAAGAGGCAGUAAAGAAGUGCUCUAACAAAGCACUUCUUUUGCAGUUAUAUCAUCAAUACAGCACGAGUUUGGAAACGAUUUUGAAUAAAUGUCCUCUAGAAGAUUUGAAAGUGGACCCCCAAAUGGUUGCUGAUGCCUUCAAUAAUCAAUUUCUAAGAACUAUACAAUUACUUCCUGUUGAAAACAAUCUCAAGAUCAAGGAGCAGAAUCCUUCUGAUAGUUCUGGGAAAGAAGAUUCUAAAAAUGACACUGUAGAAGAAGACAGUCCUUCACCAGAUAAUCAGAAUUCUCGUACUGCAAAGAAAUUCUUCCUUGAACCCGAAGCAAAAGAUCUGCUUGAAAAAGUAUUUAAAGUUAAAAAGUGUCCUAACACUUCUGAGCGAUUAUUCAUCGCUCAGAAGCUUGGUCUAACUGCUUCUCAAGUUAGGAUAUGGUUUACAAACAAACGUAUGCGUACGAAAUCUAAACAGAAGAAAGUAAAACCAAUAGCUGGUCCUAUUAAAUAG